Molecule: non-coding RNA, 540 nt
Organism: Acanthopagrus latus (yellowfin seabream)
Lineage: Eukaryota; Metazoa; Chordata; Actinopteri; Spariformes; Sparidae
Source: the annotation of a RefSeq genome assembly
AACCAUGUUCUCUGUAGCUCUGCUGCUGCUGUUGGCAGCUGGAUAUGUGAAGUGUGAACAGUUGACACAGCCAGCCUCCGUGACUGUGCAGCCAGGUCAACGUCUGACCAUCACCUGUCAGGUCUCUUAUUCUGUUAGCAGCUACUGGACAGCUUGGAUCAGACAGCCUGCAGGGAAAGAACUGGAGUGGAUUGGGAUGAGAGUUGGAUCCACCACAUACUACAAAGAUUCACUAAAGAACAAGUUCAGUAUUGAUUUAGACUCUUCCAGCAACACAGUGACUCUCAAUGGACAGAAUGCGCAGCCGGAAGACACUGCUGUGUAUUACUGUGCCAGACACACACACUGGUUAAAGGAAGCAGAGACGCUUUACAAAAACUCCACAGAACAUUUGUUUCCAAAGACCUACAGGUGGCAGCAGAACAUAUGAAGUCAGAUGACACUAACUAAGGAGAGUAUGACAGUGACUCUAAACACUCACACAUACAUACAUGCAUCAUAUGAAAACAACAGCUGAUGUUGUGGUUUGUGACUUCCUGU